CCCUUUGUUAAAUUUACUUCUCCUUUAGUAUUUUGAGAGCUUAGAGGUGAUUCAUGUUAUAUUACUUGGAGGAAGGCUAGCUUGCAUUCUUGCUUGUUUUUGUCCCCCUGUUAUGAAAGGAAAUUAGAAUAUUGUGGAAAAUAGGGAAAAUAUUUAAAAAUAAAAGGAAGAAAAAAAGCACAGAGCAAGUAAAAUAAGCAAGUAACUAACCAUAUCUUCUCCUGUCUCUACACAAAAGCUAUUAAUAUUUUGGUGGACUUCUGAAGUUACAGUCUGGAUUCCUAAUUUAUUCAGAAUUUUUUUGGUGUUUUUUCCAAAGCAAAUAAUUACUCUUCAUUGGAUCUGGAGUUAAAAACAAACAACAAACAAAAACAAAGAUCAAACAGAAACUCUCAGUGAAUCUCCUUCAAGAAAGAAAUUCUUCAUUUUGUCACUGAGGAAGUUCUGUCAGCCAGCCAGCUGAGCUAUCCACACUAAUGGAAAUGUAACUGGAACCGACUAAUGAGAAAAUCAAGGACCAUCAGGCAAGAUUGUGCAGUAGAAAUUUUUGCUUCCAAAUGAAGACACCAACAUUUAGAAAUUUCUACUUUCUAAGUUUUUUGCAUAAUUGUCCUUAAAUGAGGUGAGAGUGAAGAGAUUAGAGCCAUCUCUGGAGAACAUCUUUACCCCAUUCCCCUGGAAGCUAACCUCAGGAGCACUAACUUGACCCUAUCUGUUUUGAGGACUCAUUAUGAACAAAGAAGUCUCCCAGGUGUGAAGUUUUUCAACAUGAGUGGCCUCGGGGACAGUUCAUCCGACCCUGCUAACCCAGACUCACAUAAGAGAAAAGGAUCUCCAUGUGACACACUGGCAUCAAGCACUGAAAAGAGGCGCAGGGAGCAAGAAAAUAAAUACUUAGAAGAGCUAGCUGAGUUAUUGUCUGCAAACAUCAGUGACAUUGACAGCUUGAGUGUAAAACCAGACAAAUGCAAGAUUUUGAAGAAGACAGUCGAUCAAAUACAGCUAAUGAAAAGAAUGGAACAAGAGAAAUCAACAGCUGAUGACGAAGUACAGAAGUCGGACAUCUCAUCGAGCAGUCAAGGAGUGAUAGAAAAGGAGUCCUUGGGGCCUCUUCUUUUGGAGGCUUUGGAUGGAUUUUUCUUUGUUGUGAACUGUGAAGGGAGAAUUGUAUUUGUGUCAGAGAAUGUGACCAGCUACUUGGGUUACAAUCAGGAAGAAUUAAUGAAUACCAGUGUCUACAGCAUACUGCAUGUGGGGGAUCAUGCUGAAUUUGUGAAGAAUCUGCUACCAAAAUCACUAGUAAAUGGAGUUCCUUGGCCUCAAGAGGCAACACGACGAAAUAGCCAUACCUUUAACUGCAGGAUGCUAAUUCACCCGCCAGAUGAGCCAGGCACUGAGAACCCAGAAGCUUGCCAGCGGUAUGAAGUAAUGCAGUGUUUCACUGUGUCACAGCCAAAAUCAAUUCAAGAAGAUGGAGAAGAUUUCCAGUCAUGUUUGAUUUGUAUUGCACGGAGAUUACCUCGGCCUCCAGCUAUUACGGGUGUAGAAUCCUUUAUGACCAAGCAAGAUACUACAGGUAAAAUCAUCUCUAUUGAUACGAGUUCCCUGAGAGCUGCUGGCAGAACUGGCUGGGAAGAUUUAGUGAGAAAAUGCAUUUAUGCUUUUUUCCAACCUCAGGGCAGAGAGGCAUCUUAUGCCAGACAACUAUUUCAAGAAGUGAUGACUCGUGGCACUGCCUCCAGCCCAUCCUAUAGAUUCAUAUUGAAUGAUGGGACAAUGCUUAGCGCCCACACCAAGUGUAAAUUUUGCUGCCCUCAAAGUCCAGACAUGCAACCUUUCAUCAUGGGAAUUCAUAUCAUCGACAGGGAACACAGUGGUCUUUCUCCUCAAGAUGACACUAAUUCUGGAAUGUCAAUUCCCCGAGUAAACCCCUCCAUCAAUCCUACUAUCUCUCCAGCUCAUGGGCUGGCCCGUUCAUCCUCAUUGCCACCAUCCAACAGCAACAUGGUAUCCACCAGAGUAAACCGCCAACAGAGCUCAGACCUUCAUAGCAGCAGUCACAGUAAUUCUAGCAACAGCCAAGGGAGUUUCGGAUGCUCACCUGGAAGUCAGAUUGUAGCCGGUGUUGCCUUAAACCAGGGUCAGGCCAGUUCCCAGAGCACUAAUCCCUCUUUAAACCUCAGUAAUUCUCCUAUGGAAGGUACAGGAGUGUCCCUCGCACAGUUCAUGUCUCCAAGGAGGCAAGUUAGUUCUGGACUGGCAACAAGGCCCAGGAUGCCUAACAAUUCCUUUCCCCCUAAUAUCCCAACAUUAAGCUCCCCUGGUGGCAUGACAAGUACUGCCUGUAACAAUAGUAGCCGAUCUUAUUCCAGCAUCCCAGGAACAUCUUUACAGAGUAUGAGUGAAGGACCCAAUAACUCUGUUGGCUUCUCUGCCAGUUCGCCAGUCCUCAGACAGAUAAGCUCACAGAAUUCACCUAGCAGAUUAAAUAUGCAGCCAGCAAAAGCUGAGUCCAAAGAUAACAAAGAGAUUGCGUCCAUUUUAAAUGAAAUGAUUCAGCCUGACAACAGCUCUAGUGAUGGCAAACCUCUGGAUUCUGGGCUUCUGCAUAACAAUGACAGACUGUCAGAUGGAGACAACAAAUACUCUCAGACCAGUCACAAACUAGUGCAGCUUUUGACAACAACUGCGGAGCAGCAGUUACGGCACGCUGAGAUAGACACAAGUUGCAAAGAGGUACUGUCUUGCACUGGCACUUCCAGCUCUGCCUCUGCUAACUCUUCAGGCGGCUCUUGCCCCUCCUCUCACAGCUCACUGACAGAAAGGCACAAAAUUCUACACCGGCUCCUGCAGGAGGGGAGCCCCUCGGAUCUCACCACCUUGUCCGUCGAGCCUGAUAAAAAGGACAGUGCAUCUGCUUCUGUGUCAGUGACUGGACAGGCACAAGGGAACUCCAUAAAACUAGAAAUGGAUGCGUCAAAGAAAAAAGAAUCAAAAGACCAUCAACUCCUACGCUACCUUUUAGACAAAGAUGAGAAAGAUUUAAGAUCAACUCCAAACCUGAGCCUGGAUGAUGUAAAGGUGAAAGUGGAAAAGAAAGAACAGAUGGACCCUUGUAACACAAACCCGACCCCAAUGACCAAACCUGCCCCUGAGGAAAUCAAACUGGAGUCCCAGAACCAGUUUACAGCUGACCUUGACCAGUUUGAUCAGUUAUUACCCACGUUGGAGAAGGCAGCCCCAUUGCCAGGCUUAUGUGAGGCAGAGAGGAUGGAUGGUGCGGUCAGCAGUGUCACCAUCAAAUCCGAGAUCCUGCCCGCUUCACUUCCGGCCACCACUGCCAGACCCACUUCCAGGCUGAACCGAUUACCUGAGCUGGAAUUGGAAGCAAUUGAUAACCAAUUUGGACAACCAGGAACAGGUGAUCAGAUUCCAUGGACAAAUACUACAGUGACAGCUGUGAAUCAGAACAAACCAGAAGACCAGUGUAUUAGUUCACAAUUAGAUGAGCUUCUCUGUCCACCAACAACAGUAGAAGGAAGAAAUGAUGAGAAAGCUCUGCUUGAACAGCUGGUCUCUUUCCUCAGUGGCAAAGAUGAAACUGAGUUGGCUGAAUUAGAUAGAGCUCUGGGAAUUGACAAACUUGUUCAGGGAGGUGGAUUAGAUGUAUUAUCAGAGAGGUUUCCACCACAACAAGCAACACCACCUUUAAUGAUGGAAGAAAGACCCAACCUUUAUUCCCAGCCUUAUUCUUCUCCUUCACCUACUGCCAGUCUCACUAGCCCUUUCCAAGGCAUGGUCAGGCAGAAACCUUCAUUGGGGUCCAUGCCUGUUCAAGUAACACCUCCCCGAGGUGCUUUCUCACCUGGCAUGGGCAUGCAGCCCAGGCAAACUCUAAACAGACCUCCAGCUGCACCCAAUCAACUUCGACUUCAACUUCAACAGCGAUUGCAGGGGCAACAGCAGUUGAUACACCAAAAUCGGCAAGCUAUUUUGAACCAGUUUGCAGCAAAUGCUCCAGUUGGCAUCAAUAUGAGAUCAGGCAUGCAGCAGCAAAUUACACCUCAGCCACCCCUGAAUGCCCAAAUGUUGGCUCAGCGCCAGCGGGAGUUGUACAGCCAGCAGCACCGACAGAGGCAGCUAAUACAGCAGCAAAGAGCCAUGCUCAUGAGGCAACAAAGCUUUGGGAACAACCUCCCUCCCUCAUCUGGACUGCCAGUUCAAAUGGGGAACCCCCGUCUUCCUCAGGGUGCUCCGCAGCAAUUCCCCUACCCACCAAACUAUGGUACAAAUCCAGGAACCCCACCCGCUUCUACCAGCCCGUUUUCACAACUGGCAGUAAAUCCUGAGGCAGCCUUGGCCAACCGCAGCAGCAUGGUGAACAGAGGCAUGGCCGGGAACAUGGGAGGACAGUUUGGCACUGGAGUCAAUCCUCAGAUGCAGCAGAAUGUCUUCCAGUAUCCAGGAUCAGGAAUGGUUCCCCAAGGUGAGGCCAGCUUUGCUCCAUCUCUGAGCCCUGGGAGCUCCAUGGUGCCGAUGCCAAUCCCUCCUCCUCAGAGCUCUCUCCUCCAGCAAACUCCACCUGCUUCCGGGUACCAGUCACCAGACAUGAAGGCCUGGCAGCAAGGAGCAAUGGGAAACAACAAUGUAUUCAGUCAAGCCGUCCAGAACCAGCCCGCGCCCGCACAGCCAGGAGUGUACAACAACAUGAGCAUCACUGUGUCCAUGGCGGGUGGAAACACCAGUGUUCAGAACAUGAACCCAAUGAUGGGCCAGAUGCAGAUGAGCUCUUUGCAGAUGCCAGGAAUGAACACUGUGUGCCCUGAGCAGAUCAGUGAUUCGGCACUGAGACACACAGGCCUCUACUGCAACCAGCUUUCAUCGACUGACCUUCUCAAAACAGAAGCAGAUGGAACCCAGCAGGUGCAACAGGUUCAGGUGUUUGCUGACGUCCAGUGUACAGUGAAUCUGGUAGGCGGGGACCCUUACCUGAACCAGCCUGGUCCACUGGGAACUCAAAAACCCACGGCAGGACCACAGACCCCCCAGGCCCAGCAGAAGAGCCUCCUUCAGCAGCUACUGACUGAAUAACCACUUUUAAAGGAAUGUGAAAUUUAAAUAAUAGACAUACAGAGAUAUACAAAUAUAUUAUAUAUUUUUCUGAGAUUUUUGAUAUCUCAAUCUGCAGCCAUUCUUCAGGUCGUAGCAUUUGGAGCAAAAAAAAAAAAAAGGAGUUCACUUUUGUUGGGAGAUUGAGAGAUGUUUUUGUUUCUUUGUAAAGGCCUUGGAUAUUGAAAAAUAACAAGGCAGAACAGUUGGACAAUCUAUUUCUUGAGCCAAAUUUAAUUAUUCUUAUUUUUGUAAUCAGUCAUUGGCUUCUUAUCUGGAUGAAGGCCUUUGGAGGAGAACCAAAAGGACAAGUUCCGCAGGGAAGACAGAGCCCCGCCUCCGCAGGCUCAGCUCCGACUCUGCCCAGGAAGAAGGGCCUGUGCCCUCACCAAAGGCUGUCAUGUGUCUCUAACCAACAGCCCUUCCCGACCCCAGGCAGCUUGUGUGUACAAUCAGCUUCUUCUAGCAACUCUGUAUCUGUUGGCUUCAAGAGAAUAUUUUGCCUCCACAUGUGUACCCCUUUUUUAAAGAUGGAUUUAAACCAAGAUGCCUCCAGGAACGAGGACGAAAUGAGUGUAUUCAGAGGAAUCCAAAAAAUACAGUUUGGGGAAAAUGCAAUAAUUUUUGAUGAGAUGGGUGAAGGACAAGAAGCGAGUUCUGUCAAUUAUUGUAGAUACAAUUUUCUGAUUAAAUCUGGGAAAAGGCAGCCUGUUCUUUCUGCUUUUAUUGUAUUAACAGCUGACGUAGCUAAAGUUAUUUAAAAUAAAAUUAAGUUUAUGAUCUAAGUAGCUUAUUUUUCCCUUUAAAUCUCACUGUAAAUAUCUUUGAUUUCUUGUAGAAAUUUAUUUCCUUCUGUUUAAUUUUAUGGCUUUAUUAUCAUACUCUUGAUUUUUCUAUAUUUGUGUGAAAUAUAACAUUGAUUGAAUUGCAGUUACAUCUGGCUAGUAAUAUUUCAUUAUUUUAAUAACUGUGAUACCAUGUAUGGAUUUACUUCGGGGUUCAAAUCAAAAUGCCAACUGCCGGAAAGAGCCGUUCCAGAUGAGCUAGAGCUCGCACUGCCCUAGUGUCUCACUGGGAUCAUCUGCCUUGAGAGCAGUGUCAGGAAUUGUCACCAGAAGUGCACAGGCUACUUGUACAGAGAAAUUAGUACUCAAAGGAAAUCUUACUUUUUUUAGAUUGACUUUGGGAAUUUUAAUUUUCAUCAGUGCAAAUAUGAAUUUAUUCUGCUCUGAGGCUAACUGGUACCAUGUUUUCCCUUUGUGUCUUGUCACUCUGCCACAUCUUGUCUCAUCCUGGCCUCUGAGUCAAGGACCCAGUGAACUGACUUUCUAGUUCUAGAAGUUGUGCUGCAAGGCCAGGAAAGCUUGAGAAAGGUAUUGUGGAAGAAGCAAAGGUAGACCCCCAUCACUCACCUUUACCUGCACUCCUGGGCCUGUGAAUGAUGACAGCACCUGACAUUGCGCACCAGCUACCUCUGCUUCCAUGGCAGAGAAAAGGCCAUAAGAACUCACAGUGGAAGAGGAGCUUGGACUCAGACAUCAAGGAAGAAGCCAUUUUCCCAGGUCCUUCUCUCUGCGUCUCACCAACCCUAGUUACAAAUAACUCCAUUGGACAGCAUCUAUUCAAAAAGUAUAAUACCGAAUCAAAAGAUUGGCGGAAGGGCUCACAUGGGUAGCAACUAUGAAAGAGAAAUAGGACACUCAGUUACAAACAUUAUCUCUUUUCCUUUUUCAGAAAAAUGCAUCCCCGAUGUCAUUCAUUCCCAGCUUAAAAGCCCAGCCAUAGUACUCUAGUCCCUACCAAACUGCUCUAGGAUAUCAUCUCUGUUCUGUUUGUGAUACUUAGACUUGCAGACUUCAGGAAGUUCACCUUUAACUUGAGCAUUCCAGAUGAAGUUUCCUGACUCAGUACUUUCGCAUAAGGACUAGAAAAAAAGUGGGAAGAAGUGAAACCUACAUCCUGCAGGAAUUGCCAAAGCCCAAAAUGACUAAUGGGUAAUUGAAGGAUAAUAAGAGAAAGAAUCCCUGAAGCCAGAGAUCCUGGAAGUCACCCUAAUGCGAACCAGCUCAGUGAAAUUUGAGAAGGUCAAAGUGAAGUCCUGACAGUGGGCCUAGAGGAAAUUCUGACUUUGACCAUUUGUCUGAUGAUUAAACACGCUGGUCCGGCUGUUUGUUACCCAGGCGAUCUGGUCCCCCCAGCACUUCAGAGUCACACGAUACCGUAUCUCUCGCUGCUAUUGGCUUUUAUAUACUAACAUUUAUUAUGCAGAUGUUGAAUCUUACUUGAGGAGACUUUCAAUCUGACAGGCCCUGUUUCUUAUUUGUGUGUGUUUAAGGCAGCUUAAAUCCACUAAUACUUGGUUCGGUGUGUGUGGGUAAGGAGGGUAAGCAAGUGUGAUACCAACCAGAGGGCAGGGGUGGAUGUAUAUCCUAUACAUGUUCCUACACACAGAUACACACGGAUUUGGUAGCUGUUGUCUGAAAUAAUAUUUAUGGGGAACAGACCCUUUGUUUCCCAAAGUUGGGAUAAGGUAAAAAUACUUCUCUGCAAUGAGGCUAAACAUUGAUUUAAAUUUAUCCUAAAGUAGUUGUGGGAAGGCCAUUUAAAACAAAUAGAAACAAUUGAGGGAACAGUGAGGUUGACACUGAGAAAUUUCAUCUUUAUGGUUUUGCCUAAGAUAGGUUCCAUACCUAGAAACUGUCUUCUGGAUCAUGACAAUCAAAGAAAAAGAAAGGACACCUGUCUGCUCACACAGAUGUUGGACUGAUUUCCUGGCUGACUAACUGGUCUUCCCAGAAGGCAGCUCCACUUGAAUAAAGUGAUGGAUUCA
RNA transcript from Myotis myotis, 7939 nucleotides. It is a transcript of the gene named nuclear receptor coactivator 1, with no coding region annotated. The transcript has 23 exons. The record is from RefSeq and is a predicted model, not a curated record. NCBI's taxonomy places the organism in Eukaryota, Metazoa, Chordata, Mammalia, Chiroptera, Vespertilionidae.